AUUGAACGCUGGCGGUAUGCUUAACACAUGCAAGUCGAACGAUGAGAAAGAGCUUGCUCUUUCGAUUAGUGGCGGACGGGUGCGUAACGCGUAGGAAUCUACCUAUUAGUGGGGGACAACUUAGGGAAACUUAAGCUAAUACCGCAUACGCACUACGGGGGAAAGAAGGGGAUCGCAAGACCUUUUGCUAAUAGAUGAGCCUGCGUAGGGUUAGCUAGUUGGUGGGGUAAAAGCUCACCAAGGCGACGAUCCUUAACUGGUUUGAGAGAAUGAUCAGUCACACUGGAACUGAGACACGGUCCAGACUCCUACGGGAGGCAGCAGUGGGGAAUAUUGGACAAUGGGCGAAAGCCUGAUCCAGCAAUACCGCGUGUGUGAAGAAGGCCUUAGGGUUGUAAAGCACUUUCAAUUGGAAGGAAAACCUCGAAGCUAAUACCUUCGAGUUUGACAUUACCUUUAGAAGAAGCACCGGCUAACUCCGUGCCAGCAGCCGCCGUAA
Molecule: ribosomal RNA, 499 nt
Filed under: uncultured bacterium
Lineage: Bacteria
Description: partial 16S ribosomal RNA
Rfam family: Bacterial small subunit ribosomal RNA
Source: RNAcentral